RNAcentral lists this ribosomal RNA (544 nucleotides) under Nematopalaemon schmitti. Its description in RNAcentral is "partial 16S ribosomal RNA". It matches the Rfam family "Bacterial large subunit ribosomal RNA", at positions 1812 to 2628 of the family's 2925-position model. Lineage: Eukaryota; Metazoa; Arthropoda; Malacostraca; Decapoda; Palaemonidae. The record is from RNAcentral.
AACAUGUCUUUAUGUUUAAAAUUUAAAGUCUAGCCUGCCCACUGAGUUUUUAAAGGGCUGCGGUAAUUUGACCGUGCAAAGGUAGCAUAAUCAGUAGUCUUUUAAUUGAAGGCUGGAAUGAACGGUUGGAUGAAAGAUUAACUGUCUCUAAUAUAGUUUAUAAUUUGACUUUUAAGUGAAAAGGCUUAAAUUAAUUAAAGGGACGAUAAGACCCUAUAAAACUUAACAUAUAUAAAAACUUGUUUUUAAAUUUUAAAUUAAAAUUGUAAAUUUGURCAUAUGUUUCGUUGGGGAGACGUCGAUAUAAAUAGUAACUGUCUGAGUAAAAAUUAUAAURAUAAUUAGUUUUUGAUCCUUCUUUGAAGAUUAAAAGAAUAAGUUACUUUAGGGAUAACAGCGUAAUUUUCUCUGAGAGUUCUUAUCGAAGAGAGUAGUUGCGACCUCGAUGUUGAAUUAAAAUUUCUCUUAGGUGCAGCUGUCUAAGUAGUAGGUCUGUUCGACCUUUAAAAUUUUACAUGAUUUGAGUUCAAACCGGUGUGAGCCA